Suricata suricatta (meerkat) is the source of this 1508-nucleotide long non-coding RNA. RefSeq lists it as uncharacterized. The transcript has 2 exons. The record is from RefSeq and is a predicted model, not a curated record. Lineage: Eukaryota; Metazoa; Chordata; Mammalia; Carnivora; Herpestidae.
GCCAGGUGGUCCCGAGUGCGUCCCUCUGUACCAGGCGCCGGGCAGGGGUCUGAGCCGUCAUUGCGGGAGGAGCACACCCACGGAACCCACUGUGAGGUACCUCGCGGACAGAGAUGUGUGUUCCUGCUUUCUUCCAGAUGCCCAGAUGGCACUUUGCUGUAUUCUCUGUCCGUUACGCUGAUCCACGGCAGAGCAUUCUGGGUAUAAAGGAGUCUUUACAACAACGUUUAUAAUUUGGACCUUAUGUCUGCCCAUUACUGUUGAGUAGAUCAUGGAGGGUUUCUCAACCUCUGUGCUACUGAUGCUUAGGACUGAAUAGUCCUCUGGGGUAGGGCUGUGCUGCGAGCUGCAGGCUGUCCACCAGCACCACUGGCCUCCACGUACUCGAUGCCAGGAGCCCCUUCCCAGCCGUGACAACCCAACAUGUCUCCAGAUGUUAUCAAAUAUGCCCCUGGAGGGCAGAGGUGGCCCCCCCGGCUAAGAACCCCUGGAUUACGGAGCAUACGUGCUGUGCCACGUGACACAGCCACCACAGAAGGGAGAGACCUUAGUGGCCUGGAGUCCCAGCAGGUCCAGAGAGAGCCCCUCCCGUGAGGUCAGCCCCUCCGUGGGGGGAGCACCCAGGUGACCGCGGUGGGUGCUGGAGGUGAGGACCCGGAGGGUGACCGGCAGGAGCAGCGGUGGGGGCCGCUGUGGAUGAGGUUCUCGGCCACUUGCCCCGCAGCUGCGGUUGGAAGGAGCAUCGAGAAAGGCUGAAGGGAGAAGGAUCCAGAACACAGGUGUUUCCUGUAUACAUUUCAGAUGUGCUAAGCAGAGCCCGUGGAGGCCCCCCGAGGCCCCCGAGGGGCUGCUGUGCCGAGAGCUGCUCCGCUUCGGCCUUGUCCACCGUCGGGGGCCCCAGGAUACGGGCCCAGCUCCCUGACAGCCAGCCCCGUUUGGGGGUCAAGUGAGCACCCCUGGACAGAUGUCAGGCCACUUAGGGCCGCCAUCCUGAGCGUCAAUGAAAGGCCUCCAGGAUUUCUGUAUGCCUGAUUAAUUCCAGUUGGCAUCAAAUUAGCAAGUUUGGCCUAGAAUGUUCAUUUUUACAAGCAGUCCUCGCUGGUUUUAUUUACAAAAACGAACAGAGGCCCCGGGAUAUGGACCAGAUUAGCUGGCAGAGCUGUCCACGGCGGAAAAAAAGUGUUUUUGUGGACGUUGACUUGAUGUAUGCUUUUCCCUCAAUGCGGGCUCGGGAGGAACCUGGCCCAUUUUCCAUCGCGUUCUUCCUGAUGCGUAAAUGUGAAAAGAAAACACAGCGUCCCUCUCCUAUCUCCCCUGACUCACGGGCUUCCACGCCGCUGGCUGCUGGCUCAGCUGAAGCUGGGGGCCCGGCCCGUGGCCUCCUUUAGAGCACGGCCAUGCAAACCCGGUGGCCUGAGCUGAAUCUUCUCACUCAUGUUCCUUUUCUUCCAGAAAAAUGAGGAGGGGGGUCCCUCUUAGGCCAUAAAUAAAUGUGGCUUAAAAACUGA